Myodes glareolus (Bank vole) is the source of this 520-nucleotide non-coding RNA. NCBI's taxonomy places the organism in Eukaryota, Metazoa, Chordata, Mammalia, Rodentia, Cricetidae. The record is from RefSeq and is a predicted model, not a curated record.
ACGCCAUGGAGCCAGCCACCAGGUCAGACAUGCUGAAUCUUUUCCGAAGGUGUUUCUAGAUGCUUUAGCAGGACACUGUUUGUUCUGUGUGGCUGUUCCUCAUGUGAUCCAGAAACUGCAGUCACCAAGGAGGUUUCCUCGAGUUAAGGACAUGGCGACUCAUCUUCUGAAAUGGAAAGUGAAGUGGCCUUCACUGUCUUCCAUGCUGCCUCAUCAAAAGGAUGUCCGCAUGAGAAAAUGUCCCCGCACAGUGGGGACAGAUCAUUACCAUGCGGGCAUCAGUCCCAACAGUCAGAAGAAAAGACUCUACCAAACGGGCUAGGGACAAAAGGCCACGGCACGCAGGCUAGUGGCUCACUUGCCAUUAAGUAAACUACAAGCCAUUCGUUGGUAACUGUUAGUGGGCAUUAUGCCAGGCAUUCACCUUGGUGCUAAACUGAGCAUUUAAAGUCUUAAAACAACAGUUCCUUCUAUGGAGUUUCUAUAUACCUACCCGAUACAUACGUUUUACACUAACAAA